ACUGGACCGUUCGCCGUGGUGGCGUACGGAGACGCGUUCCCACCAGUGCUGCCGCCAUAUUCUCCAACAUUUGGAUUUGUCUUUGCUGCUGCAACAAAUUUAAAUUCUUCUUUUUAUUUGAAAAACUUUUUUGCAAGAUGUCAAUGCCCUUCGUACGUGUCAAACGUGUACAAGAAAGAGGUUAAAAGUAAUCUAUACAGAAUGAAACUCAACUUUGGUCCACCAAUCGACAGCCGUUUGUUGUCCAACACAGCUGGUCAGUGUUCUAAGGAGUGAACCUGUCCACCCUCUAUCGAAGACCGAUAGGGUUAAGCCCUAAAUCUGGAUCAAAUUGCAUCAGCUGUUGUCAAGGACGGUCAAUAACGAAGCUCGACGAGUAUUCGUCGCGAAAAAUUCUUCAAAGAGAGAGAAAGAGAGAGAGUAUCGUGGAAUAUCGAAUGGACGACGUGACGAAAAGCAGAGCGCAACAACCGGCGUAAUCGGUUCCGAGAAGGAGCCGAGUGGAAAGCAAUUGACGAAGUCGAUUCGAAGGUUGCCUCGAUACGUGACGCGACGUCGUAAAACAGGAGUUGCCGCAAGAAAGCGCGCGGUUAUGACGUGGAUAUCGUAAGCGGAGGAACGUAAAAUUGAAAUGAGAAAAACACAGGUCGGUUCGAAUUUUCUUCUACCGCCGAUUUACACCGAUUUCCAACCGUUCUCCUCUUCUCUGCGUUACUCGUUUCGAGACGACGCUUGGACCAACCAUUUUCGACUUUAUCUCGAUUUUUUCUUUCCGAGUUUGUGACUCGCUCGAAUUAAAAUUUGGAAAAUUAUUCCACCGAAAAAUAUCCAAUAUCCGUUAAUUCUGUCUCCACGUUUCCAAAUAAAUCGUACAAUUGAUUUUCUCUGAAAGAAGGAGCAAGAAAAAUUCGAAGAGUUACCCGACGAUCGAUUAAAUUUCGAAAUAAAUGGUCGAAGGAUGGAAAGCUGCGCGGAAAGAGAAGGGUGUUCUCGAUUCGAAGUAACGAGAUGGGCGGAGCAGAGUGGAGCAGGAGGAGAGGGGAGAGUUUUCGGGCAGAUUUUGGCCGUGGAGAAGUUUUUCGGUUGGCCAGGGGACGCACAAUAGUAUUUUUUCCCUCGUUGCCUCCAUAAUGCGUUCCAUGCGGGGGGUGCAGGAGGCGACGCGUGUUGUGUGGACCACCCUUCUCCCCGUGGAGGACGUGGAGAAGCGAGUGAAUGAAGGAAGGAGGGGAGGAGGGAGCGGAGGGCGUCGCACGAGGCGCACGCUGUCAGCCCCUUCCCGAUUUAUCAUUACACCAUUCCGUUUCUUCUCUCUUUCUCCCUCUCGUGAUCGGCCCACGGAUUGGUGCACACGGAUGGAGAAAGAAAGAGAAGAGACGCUCCCGAUUCCGUGGAUUCGUUUCGAUCGAGAAGAGGAGAAGAUUGGAUUGGCUCGAAAGAGAAUUAUUUCGGAUUAUUUGAAAGUUAGUUGAAACUUGAGUCUGGAAUCUGAAUUGGCGAGGAAGCUUGAGAAAAAGGAGGAUGUUUUCUCACGAUUGAAGAAUUUUAAUUAUUUUCAAAAUUUCGUUUCAAUCACUUUCAAAGCUUGAUGAGGGGACAAUUUUUUCAUGGUUGAAGGGGAAUAAGAGAGUACUUUCGAGUUUGAAGAGAAAAUAAAUUUUAGUACUUUUAUUCAAGAAAAAUCAAUUCUAAUUUUCAAUUACAUCAACUUGUCAAAUCAAUAACUUACAAAAAAUGGUAGCAAAUAUAAAAUCAUCGAUGGAGGAUCCUUAAAUUCUAUCUUCAAAAUAGAAUUAAAAAUUUACUUUUUUCAAUUUCAAAGUGCUUUUAUAAAUUAAUAAUGAAUUAAUUCUAAUUUUCAAUCACAUCUUGUUAAUAACUUACAAAAAAUGAUAGCAAAUGUAAAAUCAUCUGCAAUGCAUAUUCAAAUAAGAAUUCUAAUUAAUUAUAUUCAAAAUUUACUUUAUUUCAGAGUACUUUCGAGUUUGAAGAGAAAAUAAAUUUUAGUACUUUUAUUCAAGAAAAAUCAAUUCUAAUUUUCAAUUACAACAUCUUGUCAAUAACUUACAAAAAAUUAUAGCAAAUAUAAAAUCAUCUGCAAUGAAACAUUCGAUGAAACAUUGUUAAAUUCUAUUCUCACACGAAUAAUUGCAUAUAUCCUUGCAAAUGUAAGAGAAUGCAUAUUCAAAUAAGAAUUCUAAUUAAUUAUAUUCAAAAUUUACUUCAUUUCUAAUUUCAGAGUCUACAUGUCUUAAGAAAGAGAAAAUAAACUUCGUUUAAUAAACUCAAACAUUCUAAAUUCAAUCUUUAAUCACAAAAAUCUGGUCAAAUUAACAAAAGAAAUAAUUGCAUAUUUCUUGCAAAUGUAAGAGAAUGCAUAUUCAAAUAAGAAUUCUAAUUAUAUUCAAAAUUUACUUCAUUUCUAAUUUCAGAGUGUUUUUGAUUCUCAACAAAUAAACUUCAAAAGAAAUAAUUGCAUAUAUCCUUGCAAAUGUAAGAGAAUGCAUAUUCAAAUAAGAAUUAUAAUUAAUUAUAUUCAAAUUUUCAUUUCUAAUUUCAGAGUGCUUUUGAGUCUCAACAAAUAAACUUUGUUUAAUAAACUUUUACUCAAACAUUCUUAAUUCAACCUUUAAUCACAAAAAUCUUGUCAAACUAACAAAAAUAAUUGCAUAUAUCCUUGCAAAUGUAAGAGAAUGCAUAUUCAAAUAAGAAUUCUAAUUAUAUUCAAAAUUUACUUCAUUUUGAGUCUCAACAAAGAGAAAAUAAACUUCGUUUAAUAAACUCAAACAUUCUAAAUUCAAUCUUUAAUCAAAGAAAUCUUGUCAAACUAACAACUUACAAAAGAAAUUAAUACAAAAUCAUCUUCAAUCACCGAUGAAUCAUAGUUAAAUUCUAAUUUCACGAAUAAUUGCACGUAUUGUUGAAAUAUAUACAAGCAACGUGGAUGAAAAUUCACUAAAAAUCUAAAAUCACCCGAAAGAGAGAGGAAGAAGGAGAUAGCCGUUAGAAUGGAAAGGACAAGGACGGCGAGAGAGUUUCGUUCGCAUGUCUCGGUGUAAUAAGCGUCACCCUCGGUGACUUCUCGGCUGGUGUUAUUAAUUCGAUUAUAAUGAGCUAUUAAGGGAAACGCUGGUAAUCCUGACAAGCUCCAUUUGAACGAUACCAGGCUUAGCCGCCGAUUCCCUCCAACCCCUGCCUCGCUGUUAAGCAAAUUAGCUCCCCCAGAGUGGGGCAGCCCUGCUCGAACCGUGGCCGGCAUCCUCUUAUCGCAUCACGACCACGUUGAUUUCAAUUUUUCCCAACAAUUUUUCCAAAACUCACUCGACCCGAAUUUCUCCCUCGUUUUCCUAUCCUUCUCUCCUUUCCCCAUAUUUAUUCUCCCGUGGAACAAUUUUUCGAAAUUUCACAAUUCUAUUAUCCCAUUAUCGAUCGAUUCUUCGUCGACUCCGAAAUCAUCCAGGCGAAUCGAAUUAUUCCUGUUUCCUCGACGAAUUCCUCUCUCGAGACUGGUCGAGCGAGAAAAAUUCGUAUUCGAUCCGUAUUCGAACGAGUUAUUACCACGUUCCACGACUUUUAUACGCUUUCCAAUAAUAAUUAGACACAUUUAUGCAUAUAAAUCGUUUUCAACGAUCGCUUUCGAAACGGUAAAUUGUUCCUCCUCCUCGCAUUCAAUUUUGAAUCAAUUUAUCCGGUAUUUAUCUCUAAUCCGAUCCCUUAUUUGCCUGCUUCGUCUCUUUUUCUUUUACGUCCUCCUCCUCCUCUUACUCCAACUCGUUUCGAUUAAUUUUUCGAUCGGAUUUGGUUUUCAUUUUUUAAUUUUUCUUCCAAUUUUAAUUUUUCGAAACGAUCGAAUAGAUUACGCGUCGUGAAAAUAUAUCGGCUUUUAAUUAAAGCCUCAGGGAGACGAGAUAUCCGUUAUCGGCGUUGUAGUCUCCCUCGAAAUAAUCAGAUAACCGCAGAGUGCAAGAAUUUUCGUUCUUAAGCGCGGAUCUUAUCGGGAUGGGGCGCGGAGGGGGCAGCUUUUCGAUAUCUCGCGCGGCCAUCGUCGAAUUCAGCGCGCGCGAUAACAGCGUGUGUUUUCCAACGGAGCAAUAUUUUUUCUUUUUCCUCCUCUCCGCAUACUUUCCCCUGUAAAUACGAAUAAUCCGAUCGAGGGAUCGAUAUUAUCUCCUAUAAUAUUUAAUAUUCCGAGCUUGCUUAGGUAAAAAAAUAAUUUUCGAAAAAUCUGCGAAGAUGGAAAAAAAUAAUCUUCUCUCUUCGAUUUAUCGUUGAUUUCGAUCUCUUUUACCAAAAAAAAAAAAAAAAGAACGACUUUAGAUCGUGAUCACGAAAUUUAUAAAUUAUUAUUUCGAUAAAUAUUCACGUAAAGUAUGUAGAAAGAUCUUGAAAGACUGACUAGCAGGCGCCACGAAUGAAAAUAUCAAAGAUCUACGUAAGUGGAAUAAUCGAGAGUGAUUUGUCGGAGAGAUAGGCGAGGAGAGAGGUUCGCAACGCUGUUGAUUUAUGGUUACCGGGCUGCGAUAUUCUUGUAAAAUGGCUGGUAUCUAUCUGUGCAUAAUCUUAUCAGCCGCGUUUACGAUUGUCGCAUAAACGUAAACAACCUCAGCCCGGGAUAUAAAUAUCCGAUAAAUAAAUCCCUCUUAUCGAAUUUUGAUUCGUACCCGAAGAAGAAAUACCUAUUUUGCUCCAACGUUCGAACGUUCUCGAACGUCGUUUUUCUUUUUCCUGAAAUUAUAUAAUCGAGAGAAAGAGAGAGAGAGAGAGAUGAAAUCGUCCUCGAGAACGAUCGGUAUUUUAAAGCCUAGCGAUUAUUUUCCCUUAUCGCUCGUUUCUUGAUAACAAUUAAUAAGUUGAAAUAAGACCUAACCUCAAUUUUAAGGAUUUUUUAAAUAGAAAAGCCGCAACGAUCGUUCCAAGCAAAUCGUCGAUCUUUGUAUUUUUCAAACGUUGGAAAUUUCAACUUCAAAUGCGGUCGAAAGAAAGGAGUGAUAUCGUUAGAAAUUUUAAAACUCGUGCGUCGUUUUCCAAGAGAAAAAGAAGAACCGAGAGAGGCAAAUCGUCACUGUGAACAACAUAUUAUCUCUGAAUUUCGUUUUAUUCUUUUUCAAAACAAUUAUUCGUUUAUUACGAGCAAGGAAUAAUUCCUUUCUGGAUAAACAUCUCCCUAGUUCCCAGAACGAGACAAUUUGUUUAAACUUGUUUCGAGUGUCGCGACACGGCUCAAUUGCCACUCGUUGACGACACUUUACGCAAGUCGGUGGAUCUGGAAUGGCCGCCGCCUCUGGUCCACCACACUUUGGCAAGCGAGAUUUCGCCUGGGUGGUGAGCGACGAAAUGAAGAUUGACGGACAAGUAAAAAUGUUGGCGUUACUCAUUGGCCGACGACCUACUGGCUUUGAAACCAACGCGUAACGAGAUUAAUAAAACGUGACGCGUGAUUCCGGUUGCACGUGCUCUCGAAUACCCUGCUCCUCCGUUCCUGCUUAUCGACGUACCACGACUCGUUACAAUCCUUCGCUUUUCAAUUCGACGUAUUUUCCGGAAUAACAGAUUCGUAAGUAAACUCGAAUCGAAUUAACCUUUAUUUCCAAGAAUUAUUAUAUAUCAGCCCGAUAUAUAAAUAAAAUCGUAGAAAGCACGAUCCAAGCCUGGAUCGUUAAUAAUCUCUCAGCAGAUAAAAAUCGAAUCGAGAAACGUGUCUACGUACCGACUGGCUUGGGCACGUUUCUCUUCACUUGCAUCCACUUGUACGUAGGUACGUGCGGCUGCUGCUGCUGCUGCUGCGAUUGAGGAUGGUGCUGCUGCUGCUGCUGCUGAUGAUGAUGCUGAAGGUGCUGGGGAUGCUGGCCCGCCGACGUUUGCUGCAGCGAGAUUUGAUAGCACGACGGAUCCGACUGACUCUCCUCCUUGUAGUGCCCCCCCACGUUAUAAUCGUUCUGACGUAUCUGCGAGUGAUAGUGCAACGAAUCCUCGGGCGCCGUUUGUAUCUGGUGGAUGUAAUUGGACGUGGCGCCUCCGGCCACCGGAAGCUGUUGAUACUCGGCCUCGUUGUGAUGGUGAUGGUGAUGACUAGAGGAUGACGAUGACUGGUGGUGGUGAUGGUGGUGGUGCAACUGGUGGUGGUGGUGCUGGCUCUCGUGCUCGGCCGUGCUCCUCGUCGCGUGGGUCAUCAUCGAGGCGCCCUGCGGGUGCACGUUCCCCGCCGAUUGCUGGGGGUCGUGGUGGUGAUGGUGGUGGUGGUGGUGAUCCCUGGUGUACCCCGUUUGCUGGACGUGGUGGUGGUGGUGGUGGUGGUGGUGGUAGCCCUGGUGGUGAGGAUCCGCCGAUCCAUUUCCGUACGAGGGGGUCGGGGGGGAGGUGGAGGAGGAGGAGGCGGUGUAGUCCAAAUUCGUGUAACUCAGCCCGUUCUCGGAGGAGAUGAUCGCGGAUCCGUCCUCGUGCAGCACGGCCGACGGGGAGUAGAAGGUUUGCUGGGGCGGGGUGCCGGAGGAAGCGGCCGAUUCCGCGGCGAGGAAGCUCUCCGAGGAGGAGGAGGAGUAAGGGGAGACCGCCGACUGGGGGAAGUAGUGGGUCGGGGCCAGCUCGGGCGAGGCCGGGACGGGCACGUGGCCCCCGGCCGCGGUUUGGUGGUGGUGGUGAUGAUGAUGAUGGUGAUGAUGAUUCCCUUGACCCGUGCAAACGUAGUUGGGAUACGAGUCAGGCUUGCCGUAAGUUCCGUACAUGCCCAUGUCCAUCAUCAUCAUCCUCGUCGCGUCGAGGCGAAUGCAUCAAUUGCGCGGUAGCCGCCACCUGCCGCUCCGCGGACCACCACUGGUGUCCUUGACGCGCGCACUCUUCGCGAGGAGGAGGGAAGAGAGGAGGGGGAGAGAGAGAGAGAGAGAGAGAGAGAGGAUUCAAUCGGCCAAUUAGCUCACAUCGCGCGAUGUACGGGAUACGGUAUCCUGUCGCUCGUCCUACACUCGUCUCCGUCUCGUUCGUUAAAUUCGACGUUUAAUAAUCGCGAUGCUCGAUCCCUUCUUCCUUCCUUUCAACUUUCGAUUCACACAGAGAUAAUCGCACAGCUUCCUCUCGCGCACUUGUCGUUCCUCUUGUUUUAUUUCAUUCGGGUCGAGGCUCCUCCACUGCCGUCCAAAAUUAACUGCCGUUUACUACUCUUUUUUCUCUCUCUCUCUCUCGCGAAACGGCGUUAUAGAUCCCGAGGCAGAUCCAUAUUUGUUACUAUACGGUAUAGAUACGCGGGGAACUCGUUCGUCGAUGCUCGAGUCGCGAUAAACGGUGGUGGAGAAGCGGACGCGUCGUCGAUCCGGUCGACGAGGGUCGCUGAAGUGGACUGGCUAGGUGGAGUGGACUGGCGGAAAGGCGGCACGGUCGAAGGCAGCACACGCAGGUAGGCAUAUUGGCAGGCGGAGGGGAAAAAAGGAGGGGAGGGGAGCCGGUCGACCGAAGGUUUGUGUCAGAUGCGGUCGCGAUAUCGGCGUCUCCUCCAAGCCGUGUACCUGUCAUUUUCGGUGACCGUGUCAUUCAGCCGGAGCUCUUCCCUUUCCUCCUCCUGCAGACCAGAGGAACGAGACUAACCGAAGCUAGGCUUGGAGAUAAGGAUAGGCCGGAUACCUGAAGCGAACGAUCGCCAAUGCUCGCGUGGUAUUCUCUCCUCGGAAUCGAACUUGUGUGAAGAUACGUAUCCGAGGAGAUGCUAAUUAAUGCGCGCCAGAAGAAAGCACGAGCGCGCCCGAGAUAAUGAUCCGGUUUCGACGACGAUUCGAUGAUUCUCAAGAGUCAUCGUCGCGACCGCCACGUCUCCAGUUCCUCGAAUCUUAUCAAUUUUCGACGAGCUACUUCGUGAAACCGAUAAAGUUUUAAAGCGUGGAUAACCAUCGGAAAAUAAUAAAUGCUCUCUUCUUUUAGAUUAUUCUCCUCGAGAAUAUUAUUUCGCGUUUUUUAAUUAAUCGUGGAAGAAAGUUUUUAAGGAAGAAAAGUUGGAGGAGAUUCGAGGAGAGAGAAAUAUGGACGCCUGUCCGAAAUUCUUGCGAGUUCGGGCGGGCAUGUUACACGGCCAGGUACGCGGCAACUCUCUGGAGAGACCUCCGGCGUGCCUACAUGAUCCUACACUUUGUGCGAUCUCGUCCCCAAGGAUUCGUAUUCCUAGUCACGCGUUUAAUCCCUCGAAACAUGCAACCGACUCGCAGCCGUUUCCACGCUCCGGGGACCAAAAUUCACCGAGAGAAGAGUAGAGAAGAGAACAGAGAAUUCAAGUUUAGUUUGUAGAAACGUGCACGAAUGAUAUCUUGGAAGGAAAUGGAAUUUAAAAAUUAUCAAGAUGAAAAUGUUCAAUUCAAGAGAUUUAGCGUUGUUGCGCAACUAUUUGUUAGUGUACUACACGAUUAAAUUAUUAAUCUUCAAGAUUUUAUAGAAAAUUUUAUUUUUUGUAUACAAAGAUAUACAUGCAACAAUUCUUGGAACGGAUUGGAAUCUGAAAAUUAUCAAGUUACAGAUCACUGGGUUUAAAAUUUAUUACCAUAUGAUUCAUUUAUGUACAAUCAAAUUGUAGAUCAAAUUGUGUUCAAAAUAAUAUUCAAGUGUUGUGCCACUACUUAUUAUUGCACAAUUCAUUAUAUGUAAUGUCUAAAGUUUUACAAACAAUUGAACUUUAGUUUGUAAAAAUAUACAACAUCUUGGAACAGAUUGGAAUAUUCAAGAGAUUGAGUGCUAUGCUACUAUUUUUCCACCACAAUUAUAUGUAAACUCUAUUUAACUCUUUGUACAGAGAAUUGGAAUAUUCAGGAGAUUGAGUGCUGAGCAAUUAUUUACUAUUAUACUAUAUGAUUCAUUUAUGUAUAAUCUCUAAGCUUUUACGGAGAAUUUAACUUUAGUUUAUAAAAAUAUACAUCUUAGAAGGAAUUGGAAUCUGAAAAUUCACGUUCAUUUAUAUGUAAUCUCUAAGAUUUUACAAAGAAUUGAACUACAUCUUGAAACAGAUUGAAAUAUUCAAGAGAUUUAAAGCUGUGCCACUAUUUACUAUAUGAUUCAUUUAUGUGUAAUGUCUAAAGUUUCACAGAGAAUUUAACUUUAGUUUAUAGAAAUAUACAACAUCUUGGAACAACAAAUUGGAAUAUUCAAAAGAUUUAGAGCCAUUAUUUACUAUUGCACCAUAUGAUUCAUUUAUGUGUAAUCUCUAAGGUUUUACAGAGAAUUUAACUUUUAUAAAAAUAUACAUCUUGGAAGGAAUUGGAAUCUGAAAAUUAUUAAAUUACUUUAUUGUUAA
Apis cerana (Asiatic honeybee) is the source of this 9262-nucleotide long non-coding RNA. RefSeq lists it as uncharacterized. Lineage: Eukaryota; Metazoa; Arthropoda; Insecta; Hymenoptera; Apidae. The record is from RefSeq and is a predicted model, not a curated record.